This 730-nucleotide long non-coding RNA is filed under the name Numida meleagris (helmeted guineafowl). RNAcentral's name for it is "lncRNA (ENSNMEG00000000237.1)". Lineage: Eukaryota; Metazoa; Chordata; Aves; Galliformes; Numididae. The record is from RNAcentral.
UAAGGCUGGAGAUGCCAUGUGGUAUGCAAGGGAGUGGGAAAAAAAGCAAAUCUUUGGCUUACAGGCCGCAGAGUUGACAUAGACUGAGGUUGUGGGCCAGCCACAAUUAUCUUGGGACUGUUGUUCUCUUCUGCUGGCACGUCAUCUGCCUGCAACAGUGUGCUGACUGAGCUUGCUUGUCAGUUGUAGCACUAACCCUACCACUCCUUUGCUCUGUAGAGCAUUUUUGCAUUUCAGCUGUGGAUCAGAGCUGCUAGUCUUUCUGUUCCUCUUCACUCAAGGCAGGAACAGAAGAGAUUUUCUUGUAAGUGCAAAUGCCACCCUAGGAUGUGGCUAUGUGCUCUCUGAAACCCUUGCUGGUUUUACCAACCUGUGUCUCCUGUUUGUUUCUAGGAAGUUCCUGUCAGUGCAGUAUUUAAGCUUUGGUUGUGAUAUUUAAUAGCACAGGGGAGGGUCACCCAGACAGCUCUCCUAACCACCAGACCACACCACAUGUGUAGCAGCACUAUAGGUAGUACCCAGCAUGCCCUAGAAACUCAGAGAAGGUGGGAGUAAUAUGUCUUCUCAGCAGAAAUGUUCCAAAGCUGGAGUUCCUCAUACCAAGUCACUCUACACGCAGUGCCAAAACAGGCAGACUCUAUGGGAAGGGAAACUCUUAAGUCUGAGAGAGGCACUAAAUCCAGUAUUGGUUGUGGCACUGCUGAAGCUAAUUAUGGCUGGUAAGUAUGAA